Molecule: ribosomal RNA, 220 nt
Filed under: uncultured bacterium
Lineage: Bacteria
Description: partial 16S ribosomal RNA
Rfam family: Bacterial small subunit ribosomal RNA
Source: RNAcentral
AACGUCUCAGUUCGGAUUGUAGUCUGCAACUCGACUACAUGAAGCUGGAAUCGCUAGUAAUCGCGAAUCAGAAUGUCGCGGUGAAUACGUUCCCGGGUCUUGUACACACCGCCCGUCACUACCAUGGGAGUCGGAAAUGCCCGAAGUCGGUGACCUAACUGAAAGGAAGGAGCCGCCGAAGGCAGGUCUGGUGACUGGGGUGAAGUCGUAACAAGGUAUC